RNAcentral lists this long non-coding RNA (5124 nucleotides) under Sus scrofa (pig). RNAcentral's name for it is "lncRNA (ENSSSCG00015018962.1)". The record is from RNAcentral. Lineage: Eukaryota; Metazoa; Chordata; Mammalia; Artiodactyla; Suidae.
GGAGUUCCCAUUGUGGCUCAGUGGUAACAAACCCGACCAGUAUCCAUGAGGAUGAAGGUUCAAUCCCUGGCCCCGCUUACUGGGUUAAGGAUCAGCUGUUGCUGUGAGCUGUGGUGUAGGUCGCAGACACGGCUGUGGCUGUGGUGUAGGCUAGCAGCUGCAGCUCUGAUUCGACCCCUAGCCUGGGAACUUCCAUGUGCUGUGGGUGCAGCAAAAAAAAAAAAUUUGAAGAACCAUUUUAUAUGCCUCUCACAGUGUACAUUAUCCACUCAGGAUUGGUGAUGCCAAAAUAUUUAUUUAUCAGUAGACUGCAUCAGAAACUUUAUCAAAAAUACAACAUCCAGGCCUCCAUCUCAGAGCUAUUGAAAUACUCUUUAUAAGCUGAACCCGAGAACCUGUGUUUGGGGAAGAACACCCCCCACCCCCACCCCCGCCUGUGACUCUGAAAUCGGCCAGGGUCCGGCUCUGAUGCUUGGUAGCUUUAGGCUCUAGGUACCAGGUGUGGGCACAUUGCAGGAAGACAGUGGCACAGAACCUUGGAAACAUGACUCCUUAAGAAGGUCGCUUUGCAGAGCACCCUUCUGUCACAAGAGCACCCUUUCAAGAGCAGAGUUUUCUUAGGGGUGGGAGGAUGCUGCCUUCUCCUUGGGACGUGCUCUCGGAGGCGUUCCUAAGAGGGAACAGCAUUCGGUCAGGGGUGCAGUGCGGACAUUGCCCAUGCCUGGCCACUUCCAACAUUUGCCUUUUGCAGAAGGCCCGUGCAGGUUUCCCUGAGCCCGGGAGAGGAAGAGUGGAGGCCCUCCCUCCCACCUCCCAUCAAGCAGUGUGAUCCUUUUUGAGGGAAAUGGAUCGUGCCCUGGUUUAUCGAUUUAAAGUGUCGCACGAUGCCGUGGGAACGUCUCGCAGAGCUCCUUACUGGUAACUGCACGAUGCGGCCUGUGGCUUCUGUCAGCAUUUAUUAUCAGUGAUUAAUGGAUCCUUGAUUCAGUGAUUAUGCCGUUAUUAUUCCACUGGUCAUAUGGUUUGGCUCAGAUUACAGAUGAAGAAAAUAUCAAUUUAAAAUAAUCCAGGAAAGGAAGCAACUGGCGUCCGAGGGCCUUGUCGUUCUCUGCCCGCGUGAUUAUUCAUUCAGCGGAUCGCAGGAUUUAAUACAGUCUUUCCUUUGAGUAAAUACGAGGAACGCGGUUCAGCCACAUGUUACGUGGGGUUUGUUUAUUUUGCUUUCAUUUUUAUGACUUUUAAUUUAGAGGUUUUGAAAAUGAAGGUUGAAAGAUCCCACACUGCUGUGAGCGUUUGUGCUCCAGGACUUCAGGAGCCAGCGGGCUGGGGAGCAGGUCAGAAGGAGGCAUCGCGUGGGGCCGCCAGGACAGGUUCUGUGCCAGCUGCCGAGCCUGCGUCCGUGUGACCCCGUGGGAGACGCCGGCACUAGCAGAGAAUUAGCAGUUUCACAGUGUCGGCUGGAGGUCUUACUUCCUCUUAGGCUCUUGGUUAGAUCGACUCCUGAGCAGGUGCUUCUUUCCUGUUUGCUGUGUAUAUAUUUGCACUUUCCUCCCUAAGGGCAGGGAUCUCUCUCUCUCUCUCUCUUUUUUGUCUUUUUAGGGCCGUACCCAUAGCAUGUGGAGGUUCCUAGGCCAGGGGUCAAAUCAGAGCUACAGCUGCUGGCCUACACCACAGGCGCAGCCACACGGGAAUCCUUAACCCACUGAGCAAGGCCAGGGAUCGAACCUGGGUCCUCACGGCUCCUAGUCUGGUUUGUUACCGCUGCGCCACAACAAGAACUCCAGGGCUCUCUGUUUUGCUCCCUGAUGGGUGCUGAGCACCUAAUGAUACCUGUCGCUCAGUAAAUACUUAAUGAAUGGAUGGAUUCUGCAACUCAUCCUGAAGAGAUUUAAGGCAUACUGAGUGCGAGGAUGACGUAAAAUACGCCGGGAGAAAAUCCACGCCCUGUUGCUAAGGAAGAAGCUGAGACAGCGGGACGGCAGAGGCUGCCCGGCGAGCCCGCCCCAAGGCUGAGAUCAGCGCACGGAUGGCAGGCAUGGAGUUCCGGACACUUCCCAGAGCAGGCUGCAGACUUGGCUCCGAGACCUCCAGCUGCUCGGGAUCUGUGUCAGGAAGAUGCAGGCAACUUAGAUUUACUGUCUCCUCAGGCAUCCGUGGCCUGGCCCUCGCCAGAGAGAUGCCUGACGUUGAUUACGGGGAGACAGGAGUAGGUGUGCGUCCGGCACAAGCCGGUCACUGCCCCCAGGGCGGCUGGUCCGGACGGUGCACAGACUCGUGGAUGAAGGCCGCUGGAUGCCCACGUUGGCUGGGAUUUAAUUCUGCCCUUUGGCCUCUGAGGGGCUAAUGUCGACACAUGUUCAGUAAUAAGUAAAAAGUACUGUCACGUUACGGACUUUCGGUGUCGUUGAAGCGUUGAGAAGAAAUGAGGCUGGGAUAAAAAUGGCUAUUUUUUUUGGAAUGCAUUUUACUAAAAUGUUAAUUGUAUUUUUCAGAGUCUUAAAAGUAUGGAGACCAGAAAACGAUGAGCCUCACAUUUCCUACACACGGGACUCAUGGUUUCACACCUAAAACUCUGCAGAGAACACGUGAAGCAGUUAGGGUGUAAGAUGCCCCUGCUUCUCGGCCCCGCCUCACCCCUGCCCGUCAGCAGACCCCGGGCUCCAGCGCGUCUUCCCAGCUCGGCCGCAUCUUUCCCCAGGGUCGCCCUUGCUGCUUUCUUCUGCGCCGUCUUCAGGUUCUCAGUGAGCCCAUCCCUGGUCACCUCAUCUGGAACUGUACACACACACGCACACACACACACACACACACACACACACACACGCACGCUGACCCUCUCUCUUUCUAAAGCCUCGCGCUGGCACAUCCGUCACACUCGUGUCUCUCGGUGGGGGCCUCUGUCCCUGCCUGUCCCUGCUCGCUGCUGUGCCCUCAGUGCCCGUAGACGCGGUCGGCCCGCUUGUGGGAUGGGUGCAUUUCCGGCUUCUUUUGAGACAUUGGUCCCACCGAGCUGGGCUGAUUCCUGCGCGGAAACUGUCAUCUGAGGCAAAGUGGCAGGACGGGCAGAGGGCUGUCGCAUUCCUGGCUUCUCGGGAAGCUUGUUUGUGGCCCCCGCACUCCUGCAGGGGCGGUCUGUAGCCAGGGGGUCCCCUCUCACACGUGGGCGUCUGGGACGCCUGCGCCGGCCCGCCUGGCUUGUCCCCGUGGGCGUUUGAGUGCACGACCGACCGCGGUGUGGAGUAAAAUGAUCACCUGUCCGUGGGAGAGACUGGACGCGGUGACAGCUGGCUCUGCUCAUGGUAAAGGAACUGGAGAAGAGCCUUGCUGUCUCGAUACUGAGUCGCGAGGGUGACACUCGUGUUCUGGGCGUUUCCCAUGUUACGGCAACGCGGGCUCCACAUCACUCCGGGGUUUCCACCUGCAGUGACCCUCACGGCGCGGUACAUGCUGCAGCCGCUUUACUGUGUUUGUCCAAUGCACGCUGCCUUGCUGGGAGCCAGUGCAUAUUUUGGCAAAUGUGCUAUACUUUAAAAAAAAAAAAUCCAUUGCUUUUCCCAAUCAGAAAAUAAUAGUUCCCAGGAAACUGUUACAGGGAGUCUUAAAAAUUCUUCCCUGCGCACAUGUCAUUGAUCCCUGGGGAGCGGUAGAGCCUUUGAGACUUACUGUGGUCCAGUCUGUUGUACAAACUCUGCCUUGCUGCAGCUCCUCGGGGGAGUUCCCGCUAAGAGAGCAUUCGAUGUGCGUUUUGUACAUGGAACAAGGUCCGUGUAAGACAGCCGUCGGGGCACCACUCGGGCUGCGCUUCCUCCGUUAACCUCUCCUGCAGAGUCUCAGGUGCAGAGCUGAAAACAGCAAACACCUUCAGGUGCUUUACAGACACCAGAUUGCAGUGUGACUUAGUCGCCUCCGACUUCUUUUUCUGGGCUGCGCAAAUCUGGCCCAGGGAGUCCCAUCCUCGGAAAUACUCUAAGGAAAUGUGGAUAUAGGCAUCUUCUUGUUCAGUCUCGAUUUGAGAUCGUCUUUUUAAAAAGUCCAGACCAAAGGCACAGGCCCUGGCAGAAGGAUGGACAGUAAGCAGCAGUGAUGCAGCUGCAGGCUCUGCAGGACACGCUGGGGGGGCCCUGUGCGCACCCACCCCCCACCCCGUCCACCCGGCUCGACUGUCCCAGGGGAGACACAGCACCACGGUUAGAUAAAAGUCACGCAGUCUGUGUUACAACAGAGGUUUGGCCAGGACCUGAUUAAAAUCCUGACAGGACCCAGAGCAUGGAAAAGAGUAUUGCAGGCUGCCUUUUCCACACCCAGUUGAUAAUUCAGAAUGACACAAAAUUUAAAUUCGUGACUACAUCCAAGUAGUUUCUUUGAAAUAUUUUCAUGUCAAAGUUCUAGUAACUUCAUUGCGGUAAACUUUUUUCUCUGGGGUGACACGUGGAACCCCAAGCAUACACUUCUGCAGUGGUCGUGUGUCCAGCGGGGCAGCCCCCGUCCCUCCAGCGCACAGCUGGGGACGCUUUCAAGUAGAGGCGAUGCCGGGCACUGCCCGGUGGGAUGAGCACGUGCUUCUCACUGAAAGUCACCGCCGACUUGGUGAGGAGACGUGGGGCUGGACUGUACGUGCAGUUUGUCACCGGGUCUCCCGACUGUCGGGGUGCUUCUUGGAAGCCCCAGUACCCUGGACCAGUGGUAAUGGGUUUUGCUACCGGGCGAUGGAUCUGUUUUUGCGCACCUCUCGGUGGAGGUGCUAAGAAACAGCAGAAUGCCCCGGGCUUGUCAGUGGACGGUAAGGAGGCAUAGGGGGGCGGAGGCAGGGCAGGUGGCCGCGUGGACAGUCUUCAGCCGAGUCAUUAGGGGAGGGUUGUCGUUUGCCUGGUUGUGAUUGAAGAGUAUCUGACUAGGGUGUCUGUGAGACAGGAAGGGCCGGGGACAGGGACGGAGAGAUGGAAGGAGCCAAAAAAAAAGGGCCAGAACUGACUUGAAAUUGGUAUUGGUUACAGUAUCGAUUGGAUUUAUUUUCUGUCUUGGAGAUCAAACUUUAACAGAAUGCUUUACUUUCUUCAACAUAUACGGUCUAAUCUAUUUUUCAAGUUGUGAAAAGUCUGAAGAAAUCUCCGCCUCCUCAUCCCCUCU